This 309-nucleotide unclassified non-coding RNA is filed under the name plant metagenome. RNAcentral's name for it is "partial contains 5.8S ribosomal RNA, internal transcribed spacer 2, and large subunit ribosomal RNA". The stretch from base 1 to 104 matches the Rfam family "5.8S ribosomal RNA", at positions 51 to 154 of the family's 154-position model. The record is from RNAcentral.
AAAUGCGAUAAGUAGUGUGAAUUGCAGAAUUCAGUGAAUCAUUGAAUCUUUGAACGCACAUUGCGCCCCUUGGUAUUCCAUGGGGCAUGCCUGUUCGAGCGUCAUUUGUACCCUCAAGCUCUGCUUGGUGUUGGGUGUUUGUCCCCGUCUCCGCGCGUGGACUCGCCCCAAAGUGAUUGGCAGCCGGCGUACUGGUCCCGGAGCGCGGCACAUGUCGCGCAAACGAGUGCCUUGGUACGGCGGCGUCCAUAAGCCCCUCUCUCACGCUCUUGACCUCGGAUCAGGUAGGGAUACCCGCUGAACUUAAGC